GACGAACGCUGGCGGCGUGCUUAACACAUGCAAGUCGAACGCUGAAGCUCAGCUUUUGUUGGGUGGAUGAGUGGCGAACGGGUGAGUAACACGUGAGUAACCUGCCUCCUUCUUUGGGAUAACGCCCGGAAACGGGUGCUAAUACUGGAUAUUCACUGGUCUUCGCAUGGGGGUUGGUGGAAAGGGUUUUUCUGGUGGGGGAUGGGCUCGCGGCCUAUCAGCUUGUUGGUGGGGUGAUGGCCUACCAAGGCUUUGACGGGUAGCCGGCCUGAGAGGGUGACCGGUCACAUUGGGAAUGAGAUACGGCCCAGACUUCUACGGGAGGCAGCAGGGGGGAAUAUUGGAAAAUGGGCGCAAGCCUGAUGCAGCGACGCCGCGGGAGGGAUGGAGGCCUUCGGGUUGGGAACCUCUUUCGGUUAUGGUCAAGCCGCAAAAAUGGUUGGGGGGAAGGUAGUGGGUAAAGAAGCGCCGGCUAACUACGUG
Molecule: ribosomal RNA, 483 nt
Filed under: uncultured bacterium
Lineage: Bacteria
Description: partial 16S ribosomal RNA
Rfam family: Bacterial small subunit ribosomal RNA
Source: RNAcentral